UCUCCGUUGGUGAACCAGCGGAGGGAUCAUUACUGAGUGAGGGUUUAACCGCCCGACCUCCAACCCUUUUGUGAACCACCUCGUUGCCUCGGGGGCGACCCUGCCGUGCUCUCGGGCGCGGUGGGGGCUCCCGGUGGCCCCUCAAACCCUGCGUAACCAAGUCGUCGGAGUAUAAACAAAUCAAUCAAAACUUUCAACAACGGAUCUCUUGGUUCGGGCAUCGAUGAAGAACGCAGC
RNAcentral lists this unclassified non-coding RNA (237 nucleotides) under uncultured fungus. RNAcentral's name for it is "sequence contains ITS1, 5.8S rRNA gene". The stretch from base 189 to 237 matches the Rfam family "5.8S ribosomal RNA", at positions 1 to 49 of the family's 154-position model. The record is from RNAcentral. Lineage: Eukaryota; Fungi.